AGAUCUUGCUGCACUGCUCAAAGACCUUCUUGGAGCUCGUCAGGAAGCCGUUUAAUAUGUUUUGAAAUUGGAAAAGAAGAAUUUCGUAAUAUUUAAGCUGCUGUGAAAAACUUGAAAUAAAUACAAUGCAUACAUCAUUUUGCAUUAAUGUUAAACCAAUCUGAAAUAUAAAUAAAAGAAAUCAGUGGUUCACGAGGAACUGUUUACCAGAUUCUGUAGAUCAAGGACUGUGCUAUUUAGUAUUUAUAAAUUAAAACUUAAUUAUGUGUAUUUUAUAACUUCUGACAAAUAAAGUUUUUUCUCAUUCUA
This is a non-coding RNA of Parasteatoda tepidariorum (common house spider), 309 nucleotides long. The record is from RefSeq and is a predicted model, not a curated record. Lineage: Eukaryota; Metazoa; Arthropoda; Arachnida; Araneae; Theridiidae.